GCCCCCGCUUGGGACCGACCACCCCGGGACCCCCACCGGGGGCCGUCCGCUCCGGGGGCCGUCCGCUCCGGGAUCCCCACCCCGGGCCGUGGCCUUGGCGCCCCACGUCGGGCGCGCGCCUUCUCUGCGCGCGAGCCCAGACGCGUGGAUGGUCCCUGAGGUUUCGGUCCAGUGCAGCCGAGGAAGCGGCGCCGGCUCUCUGAGGCCCCGCGUGGUCCCCCGGGCUCUCGCGGGCUCUCACCUGGCUCGCGCACGACCGGCAUCCUUGCACCUGCCUACCGGUGCGGUGUCGGUGGAGUUGACUUAGGGUGUGGCGUCUCCUCUCUCCACCGGGUACCAUACAUUUCCUUUUGCGUCCGGCCACACUGUCACGCCUGAGUGGCCUGGGAGUCACUCUCGGGGCACGCAGUGUGCAGAGGACACGCAUAUCUCGGACCGCAGCUGUACUGCUUCGUCUUUCGUCCUUCUGAGGGUCUGGGCCUACCCCUCUGUCCUGCUGGCGGGAGUGUCCGCCCUUUCUGUUCGCACUGUGCUUUGUAAUUUGGGGACUUUCCUGGACAUAAACACUGCUCCUUGCAUCAGGCCAUCGCCAGAGACGCUGCCGUCUUCACUUGGUGGGAAGUGCCCUGUCCCCAGCAGUAUAGCUGGAGGAGGCUCACCCAUGGGGCAGCGCUGUGGCCAGCCCCUGCUUCUCCUGACAGCUGGAAGCUCUGUGGGUUUUUUUCCCAAUCAGUGGUCCUUCCUGAGGAAGCUCCCAGGCUGAGGGAGAGAGAGACGAGUCAUGCCGGGGCCUAGCUCUGCGGUGGACACCAGGCCACGAUGGCUGUGGGCAGGCAGCCAGGAAGAGCUCUCCCUGGGGAGACCUCUGGCGGGACCAGAGGAUGUGGCCGUGUGUGUGGAGGGGGCGCGCUCUGCUGCGGCGCCUUCAACAGGUGUGCAGGGUAGGUGCUGGGCCCGCAGAGGUGCCGGGGUGCCCUCCCAAGCGCGGGGCCGCAGCUCAGGGUGUGGCUGUGCCCAGUGGAAGGCUGGGUGCUUCCCGGCCUCUGUGGGCCUCUGGGAGGGUGGGGUGUUCGCAGGACAUCUGCCUGCGUCCCUCCUCUUUGGGAGGUCUCGCCUGCCCAGGCCUGGUCUCCACCCUCCUCUCUCCCGUCUUGGCAUUGGGCCCAGUGUUGGGUCAUGCUGGAACCCCCCCCCCAGUGUUNNNNUCUCUCUGCUGUCAUUGUUGGCACCCCCCCCCCCGCCAGACCUCUUGCUCUCCCUGGGGGCACAGAUGCCCCCUCCUGGCGCGUACAUACACCCUCCCUCCCCCCGGAACUAGGAGUGCAGCCUCCUGGGGCUCUGAGAAGACCACUGAGGUUUUAAUCAGAGUGAGGAAGGGGAGGCGGGGGGUCUGGGGCAUGGAGCUGGUCUAGGACGCCCACCCUGCUGUGUGUGUGCGGGGAGGGGCGGGAUAGGGGGUGNNNNNNNNNNNNNNNNNNNNNNNNNNNNNNNNNNNNNNNNNNNNNNNNNNNNNGUGGGGCACGGGGGGCAGGGCAGGCAGGUUGUUCUGUGGGUAUGGGGCCCAGCGGCCGUAGGGUGGGUGGGCGCAGAGCACCCCUGCCCGUCCCAGUGCGGCCCUCCCCGUGGGUGCUGCCGGCCCCACUGUCCCCCUGGAGCAGGCCUCCGGGCAGGCUGCCCACCCUGCCUGCUUGGAGACUGGGUGCAGAGGCACCGCACUGUGCGUGUGCUCGGCGCGCGCCCGCUCUAACCGCUGUGGGUGCUCACUGGGCCCCAUGAGGCAGCGGUGCGUCUCCGCUCUGUCUCAGCGCUGUGUCCAGCCCCCGGUUGGACUGGUGAUGAACCCACUCCUGGGCCUUCUCACACUGGCAGUGGCGUUUGGGGGGAGCGUUUGCUCGGUGUUACUACCAGGAGGCUUCCCGGAGCGGCUGUGCCAGCUCACCCCCACUGGCGUCCCCGUUGCUCUGCAUUCUUGCCAGCACUGCCUGACUUUUAAUCACUGCCAGUCUGGUGGGUGUGAAACGGUAUUGUGGUUCUGAUUUGAGUUUCUCUGAUCACUGAUGUAGGCCCCUUGUACUUCCCCGUCAGCGAAAUUCUUGCUUGUCUCUCUUGCCAGUUUUUUCCUCCUGCUUUAUCCCCCGACUUGAGCCUCCGUGGGUUUUUAAGGGCCAGUAAUUCCUUUUUAGCACUGUGUUGAAAGCACCCUCUUCUCUGCAAGGCCAUGGUGCCACCCAAGGUGCGCCUGGUGUUGGCCUUGGUCUUGUCCUGUGGUCUGUCCUCCCCGGGGCUGUUGGGAGAGCUCUCUGCUCUCCCUGGGAGCUGCUGCCAGGCCCGCGGGGCUGCGACAGAGGCAGGCUCGGUUUCCUGCAUUUCCUUGGGGGCACAGACUGCACCCCCUGCAGUGACCCUCAGCCCUGGUGUCCCACUGCCCCUACCCCCGCGGGGAUCCCCUGAGCAGCCUCCUGCCGCACCCCCACCCACUGGUCUGGGGCAUUUUGAACCCUUGUACUUGCCCCCUAAUGUUCUGUCCUGUUGAGGUCUCACAGGGUCAGAUCUCUCUGCAGGCUUACUGAGCGCUCUCGUUCCUGUGGCCCCUCCUGUCGGUGCCCUCGCCUGGCUCACCUUCCAGAAGGGGCUGCAGCUGGAGCGUGGGCUUUGGCGUCUGCGUGCUGGGCCCUCUGCAGCCUGCGGCUGGGCGAGNUGGCUCACCUUCCAGAAGGGGCUGCAGCUGGAGCGCGGGCUUUGGCGUCUGCGUGCUGGGCCCUCUGCAGCCUGCGGCUGGGCGAGUGCCGGUUGCCCGGGCCAUGGCUGCGCUGUGGGCCCCGCGCCCUAGGCGUCGCCCACCCGGCAUUCUGUGCAGGUCCUGUGUUCCCCUGCCUUUUCACCUUCAGCCACUUUGGAGGCUGUGCUGGGGUUUCUCUGUGGGGGCACGCCAGGCGCAUAUAGCGUGCGGGCGCUGGGUGUGAUCAAACUCUCAGAGCCGGACGUCGUCCUGCUCCUUUCCCUGCCGAUGUGGGUCUUCCAGCAUUAAACCUGCCUCUCCCUCUUGGAAACAUAGCAGCGUGCUAGCGUGGUGGUGCCCUGGUCCCCUUCCCGCAGGCAGGUAGAUGGGAUCAGACUUUGCCCAGGACGUCGUAUCUCUGCCUGGGGUCUGUAAUCUGCUCGUCUGCUGCCCUUACCCGAUUUUGAUGCCAAGAUACNNNNNNNNNNNNNNNNNNNNNNNNNNNNNNNNNNNNNNNNNNNNNNNNNNNNNNNNNNNNNNNNNNNNNNNNNNNNNNNNNNNNNNNNNNNNNNNNNNNUACCCGAUUUUGAUGCCAAGAUACCUGCAUGUGUCUGUGUGAAGCAGGAGCUGUUUGUUCUCUGAACGUCCGGGCGACGGUGAGGGUGCCGGCCAGGGGCCUGACUCCAGGCUGUUCGGGGCCAGGGGUGGCUCCUGGCUUGGCUGCUUUAGUGGCUGCAGAGUCCCCAUCCCUGCCUUUCAGGUAGCUUUAGAAACAUCUUUCUGUGAAUUUGUCCAUUUUUUCCCGAUUUUCAACUUGAUUGGCAAAAAGUUGUUCCAAACGUUCUUUUCCUAAAAGAAUGCCUGCGGGGCCUGUGGAGCUCUCCCCUUCCGGUCCCUUCCGUUGGCCGUGCGGGUGGGCGUCCACACGCGGGUGCAUCUCACCAGGGGUCCAUCAGGCGUGUUUUUUCAAUGGACGUUCACACCUUCCUUUCCAUCCACGCUCUUUGUCUCUGUCACGUGCGCGUGAUCCGGUCUCUUUAAGGUGCACUCACAGCUCCUCCCUUCUCCUCCUUGCCUCCCGUGCUUGGUUUCUGAUCACUCGCGUAUUCGUUUGCCUUUGGCCGCACUGGGCCCUGGUGGCCACACUGGGCCCUGGUCGCCGCGCGGGCUUCCCUGGUUGGGGUGUGCGGGGCUCCUCUGCACCGUGGCGGGCGGGCGCCUCCCUGCAGCGGUCUCUCCUGGCGCCUAGUGCAGGCUUAGUUGCCCCGCAGCAUGUGGCGUCCUCCCAGACCAGAGAUCAAGCCGGUGUCCCCUGCACUGGUAGGUGGGUUCUUAACCGGAUAACCAGGGAAGUCCCUUCUGUAAAACUUUAAAACUGCAAAAUAAGUAAUGUUUUGACUGCAUUUCGUGAGCUUCUAUGCGUAGAGUUGUUGAGUUUAAAGUCUUUUAAACUUUUCCGUUUCCCCUCUUUGACGCGGUGGGACAUUUCAAAGUCUCUUUGUGUCCAAACCUUCUCCUCUUAUUUUCCAUCGCUGAAUUUGUUUCUUCUCUUUUGAUUGUUCCUGACUUAGUUGUGUUGUGGUCACAGAGGGUGGUCAGUGUGACCCCAGGUCCGUAGGGUGUUUCAGGACUUGCUCUGGGGCUCUGUCUGAAGCCAGCGUUCGUGCGUGUUCUGCUUGUCCUGAAGAGGGCCGUGCGUUUGGCACUUGGUGGUGCCACGUUUGAUGCCUGUCCCUGUGGGUCAUGCUCAGCUUAUAGUGUCUUCAAGGCUUGUUACCUUUCUUGUCUACUUGGGAAGCAGGGAAGAGUCUCCGAGCCUGGAGGGGGCUGUCUGUUCCCCCUGGAGCUCUGUCUUCAGAUCGCAGCCCUGUGGAGUCACAGGCCCUGAGUGCUCACGGCUGACUCGGCACCCAUUGGAGCUUCUCCUCCUGGGAGACUUGGUGGCGGCACCGCGCUCAGCUGUCUGUGGGAGAUGCCCGCCUUGUGUCUCUAAGCUUUCCUGUGUCCUCGCACGUUGCCCGCCUGCGUGUCUCCCGCCUUGUGUCUCUUUAAGCUUUCCUGAGUCCUCUCACGCUGGCUGUGUGCUUUUUAUUUGGCACCAUCUAGAUUUCCUUUUCGUUUGAUCUGACAGUCUUCGUUCUUUAAUCAGGACGUUCAGUCCGUUGUUAUUUGUCUAAGUUGCUGGCGGUUGGGUUCAUGCCUACCACUGCGUUUCUGUCCUUCGUACCCUUUUUUCCUAAGUUUCUCUUUUUCGUUGUACCUUACUGUGCACCUUCCAUUUCUUAUUAGUUUGAAACUUGUCCCUAUUUCUGUCCCUUUCGUGGCCACCGUGUACAUUGCGUGCUUGCUGUUGUGUUUCAGAGUCAACUGUGAAUUGUUUUCCUGAACAACAGAGGGACCUUAGGCCACAGUGUUCUGACCUGUCACGUUCGCGUCUGCGUGCUUUUGUUUAGAGCAUUUUAACGUCUUUUUGAGCCCAUACGAGAUUAUUGUUAUUA
This 5217-nucleotide long non-coding RNA is filed under the name Capra hircus (goat). RNAcentral's name for it is "lncRNA (ENSCHIG00010011465.1)". Lineage: Eukaryota; Metazoa; Chordata; Mammalia; Artiodactyla; Bovidae. The record is from RNAcentral.